AGUGAACGCUGGCGGUAGGCCUAACACAUGCAAGUCGAACGGCAGCACAGUAAGAGCUUGCUCUUACGGGUGGCGAGUGGCGGACGGGUGAGGAAUACAUCGGAAUCUACUUUUUCGUGGGGGAUAACGUAGGGAAACUUACGCUAAUACCGCAUACGACCUACGGGUGAAAGCAGGGGAUCUUCGGACCUUGCGCGAUUGAAUGAGCCGAUGUCGGAUUAGCUAGUUGGCGGGGUAAAGGCCCACCAAGGCGACGAUCCGUAGCUGGUCUGAGAGGAUGAUCAGCCACACUGGAACUGAGACACGGUCCAGACUCCUACGGGAGGCAGCAGUGGGGAAUAUUGGACAAAGGGCGCAAGCCUGAUCCAGCCAUACCGCGUGGGUGAAGAAGGCCUUCGGGUUGUAAAGCCCUUUUGUUGGGAAAGAAAAGCAGCAGGUUAAUACCCCGCUGUUCUGACGGUACCCAAAGAAUAGGCACCGGCUAGGUUCGUG
This 492-nucleotide ribosomal RNA is filed under the name uncultured bacterium. Its description in RNAcentral is "partial 16S ribosomal RNA". It matches the Rfam family "Bacterial small subunit ribosomal RNA", at positions 29 to 507 of the family's 1533-position model. The record is from RNAcentral.